This 2189-nucleotide ribosomal RNA is filed under the name Escherichia coli. RNAcentral describes it as "partial 23S ribosomal RNA". It matches the Rfam family "Bacterial large subunit ribosomal RNA", at positions 776 to 2925 of the family's 2925-position model. Lineage: Bacteria; Pseudomonadati; Pseudomonadota; Gammaproteobacteria; Enterobacterales; Enterobacteriaceae. The record is from RNAcentral.
GAACCGACUAAUGUUGAAAAAUUAGCGGAUGACUUGUGGCUGGGGGUGAAAGGCCAAUCAAACCGGGAGAUAGCUGGUUCUCCCCGAAAGCUAUUUAGGUAGCGCCUCGUGAAUUCAUCUCCGGGGGUAGAGCACUGUUUCGGCAAGGGGGUCAUCCCGACUUACCAACCCGAUGCAAACUGCGAAUACCGGAGAAUGUUAUCACGGGAGACACACGGCGGGUGCUAACGUCCGUCGUGAAGAGGGAAACAACCCAGACCGCCAGCUAAGGUCCCAAAGUCAUGGUUAAGUGGGAAACGAUGUGGGAAGGCCCAGACAGCCAGGAUGUUGGCUUAGAAGCAGCCAUCAUUUAAAGAAAGCGUAAUAGCUCACUGGUCGAGUCGGCCUGCGCGGAAGAUGUAACGGGGCUAAACCAUGCACCGAAGCUGCGGCAGCGACGCUGAUGCGUUGUUGGGUAGGGGAGCGUUCUGUAAGCCUGUGAAGGUGUGCUGUGAGGCAUGCUGGAGGUAUCAGAAGUGCGAAUGCUGACAUAAGUAACGAUAAAGCGGGUGAAAAGCCCGCUCGCCGGAAGACCAAGGGUUCCUGUCCAACGUUAAUCGGGGCAGGGUGAGUCGACCCCUAAGGCGAGGCCGAAAGGCGUAGUCGAUGGGAAACAGGUUAAUAUUCCUGUACUUGGUGUUACUGCGAAGGGGGGACGGAGAAGGCUAUGUUGGCCGGGCGACGGUUGUCCCGGUUUAAGCGUGUAGGCUGGUUUUCCAGGCAAAUCCGGAAAAUCAAGGCUGAGGCGUGAUGACGAGGCACUACGGUGCUGAAGCAACAAAUGCCCUGCUUCCAGGAAAAGCCUCUAAGCAUCAGGUAACAUCAAAUCGUACCCCAAACCGACACAGGUGGUCAGGUAGAGAAUACCAAGGCGCUUGAGAGAACUCGGGUGAAGGAACUAGGCAAAAUGGUGCCGUAACUUCGGGAGAAGGCACGCUGAUAUGUAGGUGAAGCGACUUGCUCGUGGAGCUGAAAUCAGUCGAAGAUACCAGCUGGCUGCAACUGUUUAUUAAAAACACAGCACUGUGCAAACACGAAAGUGGACGUAUACGGUGUGACGCCUGCCCGGUGCCGGAAGGUUAAUUGAUGGGGUCAGCGCAAGCGAAGCUCUUGAUCGAAGCCCCGGUAAACGGCGGCCGUAACUAUAACGGUCCUAAGGUAGCGAAAUUCCUUGUCGGGUAAGUUCCGACCUGCACGAAUGGCGUAAUGAUGGCCAGGCUGUCUCCACCCGAGACUCAGUGAAAUUGAACUCGCUGUGAAGAUGCAGUGUACCCGCGGCAAGACGGAAAGACCCCGUGAACCUUUACUAUAGCUUGACACUGAACAUUGAGCCUUGAUGUGUAGGAUAGGUGGGAGGCUUUGAAGUGUGGACGCCAGUCUGCAUGGAGCCGGCCUUGAAAUACCACCCUUUAAUGUUUGAUGUUCUAACGUUGACCCGUGAUCCGGGUUGCGGACAGUGUCUGGUGGGUAGUUUGACUGGGGCGGUCUCCUCCUAAAGAGUAACGGAGGAGCACGAAGGUUGGCUAAUCCUGGUCGGACAUCAGGAGGUUAGUGCAAUGGCAUAAGCCAGCUUGACUGCGAGCGUGACGGCGCGAGCAGGUGCGAAAGCAGGUCAUAGUGAUCCGGUGGUUCUGAAUGGAAGGGCCAUCGCUCAACGGAUAAAAGGUACUCCGGGGAUAACAGGCUGAUACCGCCCAAGAGUUCAUAUCGACGGCGGUGUUUGGCACCUCGAUGUCGGCUCAUCACAUCCUGGGGCUGAAGUAGGUCCCAAGGGUAUGGCUGUUCGCCAUUUAAAGUGGUACGCGAGCUGGGUUUAGAACGUCGUGAGACAGUUCGGUCCCUAUCUGCCGUGGGCGCUGGAGAACUGAGGGGGGCUGCUCCUAGUACGAGAGGACCGGAGUGGACGCAUCACUGGUGUUCGGGUUGUCAUGCCAAUGGCACUGCCCGGUAGCUAAAUGCGGAAGAGAUAAGUGCUGAAAGCAUCUAAGCACGAAACUUGCCCCGAGAUGAGUUCUCCCUGACUCCUUGAGAGUCCUGAAGGAACGUUGAAGACGACGACGUUGAUAGGCCGGGUGUGUAAGCGCAGCGAUGCGUUGAGCUAACCGGUACUAAUGAACCGUGAGGCUUAACCUUACAACGCCGAAGCUGUU